Molecule: ribosomal RNA, 272 nt
Filed under: uncultured Staphylococcus sp.
Lineage: Bacteria; Bacillati; Bacillota; Bacilli; Caryophanales; Staphylococcaceae
Description: partial 16S ribosomal RNA
Rfam family: Bacterial small subunit ribosomal RNA
Source: RNAcentral
CGUUAGCGGCGGACGGGUGAGUAACACGUGGGUAACCUACCUAUAAGACUGGGACAACUUCGGGAAACCGGAGCUAAUACCGGAUAAGAUAUCGAACCGCAUGGUUCGAUAGUGAAAGANGGUUUUGCUAUCACUUAUAGAUGGACCCGCGCCGUAUUAGCUAGUUGGUGAGGUAACGGCUCACCAAGGCAACGAUACGUAGCCGACCUGAGAGGGUGAUCGGCCACACUGGAACUGAGACACGGUCCAGACUCCUACGGGAGGCAGCAGUU